GACGAACGCUGGCGGCGGGCCUAACACAUGCAAGUCGAACGGAAAGGCCCUGCGAUCGUGGGCUGCCCGAGGGGCGAACGGGUACGUAACACGUGAGCAACCGGCCCUCGAUUUUGGGAUAACUUCAGGAAACUGGGGCAAACACCGGACAGGAGCUCCUGCUGCAUGGCAGGGGUUGGACAGCUUCGGUGGCUGGGGAUGGACCCGCGGCUUAUCAGCUUGUUGGUGGGGUAGUGGCUGACCAAGGCUUGGACGGGUAGCCGGCCUGAGAGGGUGACCGGCCACCUUGCGCCUGCGAUACGGCCCAGAGUCCUACGGGAGGCAGCAGUGGGGAGUAUUGCCCAAUGGGCCGGAGCCUGAUGCAGCAACGCCGCGGGCGGGAUGACGGCCUGCGGGUUGUAAACCGCUUUCGCCUAUGACGAAGCGUGAGUGACGGUAAUGGGUGAAGAAGCACCGGCUAACUACGUG
This 468-nucleotide ribosomal RNA is filed under the name uncultured bacterium. Its description in RNAcentral is "partial 16S ribosomal RNA". It matches the Rfam family "Bacterial small subunit ribosomal RNA", at positions 28 to 507 of the family's 1533-position model. The record is from RNAcentral.